AAGCAUCGACCAAGUCAAUCUAACCGGGGGAAAUCAAGAUGUUACUAUUAUUUUUUUUGAUGCGUAGGUCGGAAUUUCAGACAAUCUGAUGAAUGGAAAAAAAAUAAUGAUAAUAAAUUUGGAACGCUCAAUCUCACUCAGAUUUGUUAUGGCAAUACUUACACUUAAAGAUUUUUAUUCUAGAUUUCCAAUUUUUCCCUAGACCUGCUGGUGCACACGGCAAUUAAGCCGCUGAUAAAUGUCUCAAAGAUUUCAUUAAUGAUUUGCCUCAUGAUAUGCCUCCGCACAACAUGCUCAUCAUUAGCAAUGACCAUGGCUUCAAGCCUUGGUUGGAUAAGUUGAGAGCUAGAGCUAGAGUUAGAGAACAAGAAGCUAGCGCUCGCGGCUGAAAAAGAAGCAAUGAAGUACUUAGAUAGCUGGAAGGUGCACACAAGGAAUGGAACUGGAACAAAAAGUUCAUUCCUUUUCAUCGUCUUCUUUAUGAGAACCAAAAAGAUGAAGAAGAAGAAGAUGAAGAUGGCCAAGAAGAAGAAGAAGACCAAGAUGAAGAAGAUGAUGAAUAAGAAGAACAGGCCAAGAAGAAGAAGAAGGAGAAGAUGAGUAAGCUUAGGAACAAUCUUUUGUAUCUCUGCUAUCACAUGAGACUUGUUUAUCACAGUUAAGUCGGAAGGUGGAUUUGGUCAAGUCAUAGAUAAUAUGGUUUUUGCUA
Raphanus sativus (radish) is the source of this 709-nucleotide long non-coding RNA. RefSeq lists it as uncharacterized. NCBI's taxonomy places the organism in Eukaryota, Viridiplantae, Streptophyta, Magnoliopsida, Brassicales, Brassicaceae. The transcript has 2 exons. The record is from RefSeq and is a predicted model, not a curated record.